Molecule: ribosomal RNA, 2905 nt
Filed under: Enterobacter hormaechei
Lineage: Bacteria; Pseudomonadati; Pseudomonadota; Gammaproteobacteria; Enterobacterales; Enterobacteriaceae
Description: 23S ribosomal RNA
Rfam family: Bacterial large subunit ribosomal RNA
Source: RNAcentral
GGUUAAGCGACUAAGCGUACACGGUGGAUGCCCUGGCAGUCAGAGGCGAUGAAGGACGUGCUAAUCUGCGAAAAGCGCCGGCGAGGUGAUAUGAACCUUUGACCCGGCGAUGUCCGAAUGGGGAAACCCAGUGCAAUCCGUUGCACUAUCGUUAACUGAAUACAUAGGUUAACGAGGCGAACCGGGGGAACUGAAACAUCUAAGUACCCCGAGGAAAAGAAAUCAACCGAGAUUCCCCCAGUAGCGGCGAGCGAACGGGGAGCAGCCCGGAGUCUGAAUCAGCUUGUGUGUUAGUGGAACGGUCUGGAAAGUCCGACGGUACAGGGUGAUAGUCCCGUACACGAAAGCACACUUGCUGUGAACUCGAAGAGUAGGGCGGGACACGUGGUAUCCUGUCUGAAUAUGGGGGGACCAUCCUCCAAGGCUAAAUACUCCUGACUGACCGAUAGUGAACCAGUACCGUGAGGGAAAGGCGAAAAGAACCCCGGCGAGGGGAGUGAAAAAGAACCUGAAACCGUGUACGUACAAGCAGUGGGAGCCUCUUUAUGGGGUGACUGCGUACCUUUUGUAUAAUGGGUCAGCGACUUAUAUUCUGUAGCAAGGUUAACCGUAUAGGGGAGCCGAAGGGAAACCGAGUCUUAACUGGGCGUUAAGUUGCAGGGUAUAGACCCGAAACCCGGUGAUCUAGCCAUGGGCAGGUUGAAGGUUGGGUAACACUAACUGGAGGACCGAACCGACUAAUGUUGAAAAAUUAGCGGAUGACCUGUGGCUGGGGGUGAAAGGCCAAUCAAACCGGGAGAUAGCUGGUUCUCCCCGAAAGCUAUUUAGGUAGCGCCUCGUGAACUCAUCUUCGGGGGUAGAGCACUGUUUCGGCUAGGGGGCCAUCCCGGCUUACCAACCCGAUGCAAACUACGAAUACCGAAGAAUGUUAUCACGGGAGACACACGGCGGGUGCUAACGUCCGUCGUGAAGAGGGAAACAACCCAGACCGCCAGCUAAGGUCCCAAAGUCAUGGUUAAGUGGGAAACGAUGUGGGAAGGCACAGACAGCCAGGAUGUUGGCUUAGAAGCAGCCAUCAUUUAAAGAAAGCGUAAUAGCUCACUGGUCGAGUCGGCCUGCGCGGAAGAUGUAACGGGGCUAAACCAUGCACCGAAGCUGCGGCAGCGACACUAUGUGUUGUUGGGUAGGGGAGCGUUCUGUAAGCCGUUGAAGGUGUGCUGUGAGGCAUGCUGGAGGUAUCAGAAGUGCGAAUGCUGACAUAAGUAACGAUAAAGCGGGUGAAAAGCCCGCUCGCCGGAAGACCAAGGGUUCCUGUCCAACGUUAAUCGGGGCAGGGUGAGUCGACCCCUAAGGCGAGGCCGAAAGGCGUAGUCGAUGGGAAACAGGUUAAUAUUCCUGUACUUGGUGUUACUGCGAAGGGGGGACGGAGAAGGCUAUGUCAGCCGGGCGACGGUUGUCCCGGUUUAAGCAUGUAGGCGGAGGUUCCAGGUAAAUCCGGUACCUUAUUAACGCUGAGGUGUGAUGACGAGGCACUACGGUGCUGAAGUGAUAAAUGCCCUGCUUCCAGGAAAAGCCUCUAAGCAUCAGGUAACACGAAAUCGUACCCCAAACCGACACAGGUGGUCAGGUAGAGAAUACCAAGGCGCUUGAGAGAACUCGGGUGAAGGAACUAGGCAAAAUGGUGCCGUAACUUCGGGAGAAGGCACGCUGAUGUGUAGGUGAAGCCCCUGCGGGCGGAGCUGAAAUCAGUCGAAGAUACCAGCUGGCUGCAACUGUUUAUUAAAAACACAGCACUGUGCAAACACGAAAGUGGACGUAUACGGUGUGACGCCUGCCCGGUGCCGGAAGGUUAAUUGAUGGGGUUAGCGGCAACGCGAAGCUCUUGAUCGAAGCCCCGGUAAACGGCGGCCGUAACUAUAACGGUCCUAAGGUAGCGAAAUUCCUUGUCGGGUAAGUUCCGACCUGCACGAAUGGCGUAAUGAUGGCCAGGCUGUCUCCACCCGAGACUCAGUGAAAUUGAACUCGCUGUGAAGAUGCAGUGUACCCGCGGCAAGACGGAAAGACCCCGUGAACCUUUACUAUAGCUUGACACUGAACACUGGUCCUUGAUGUGUAGGAUAGGUGGGAGGCUUUGAAGCGUGGACGCCAGUCUGCGUGGAGCCAACCUUGAAAUACCACCCUUUAAUGGCUGGUGUUCUAACGUAGACCCGUAAUCCGGGUUGCGGACAGUGUCUGGUGGGUAGUUUGACUGGGGCGGUCUCCUCCCAAAGAGUAACGGAGGAGCACGAAGGUUGGCUAAUCCUGGUCGGACAUCAGGAGGUUAGUGCAAUGGCAUAAGCCAGCUUGACUGCGAGCGUGACGGCGCGAGCAGGUGCGAAAGCAGGUCAUAGUGAUCCGGUGGUUCUGAAUGGAAGGGCCAUCGCUCAACGGAUAAAAGGUACUCCGGGGAUAACAGGCUGAUACCGCCCAAGAGUUCAUAUCGACGGCGGUGUUUGGCACCUCGAUGUCGGCUCAUCACAUCCUGGGGCUGAAGUAGGUCCCAAGGGUAUGGCUGUUCGCCAUUUAAAGUGGUACGCGAGCUGGGUUUAGAACGUCGUGAGACAGUUCGGUCCCUAUCUGCCGUGGGCGCUGGAGAAUUGAGGGGGGCUGCUCCUAGUACGAGAGGACCGGAGUGGACGCAUCACUGGUGUUCGGGUUGUCAUGCCAAUGGCACUGCCCGGUAGCUAAAUGCGGAAGAGAUAAGUGCUGAAAGCAUCUAAGCACGAAACUUGCCCCGAGAUGAGUUCUCCCUGAGACCUUGAGUCUCCUGAAGGAACGUUGAAGACGACGACGUUGAUAGGUCGGGUGUGUAAGCGCAGCGAUGCGUUGAGCUAACCGAUACUAAUGAACCGUGAGGCUUAACCUU